UACGGAGGGUGCGAGCGUUGUCCGGAAUCACUGGGCGUAAAGGGCGCGUAGGCGGUUCGGCGCGCGUGCGGUGAAAGCUCGGGGCUUAACCCCGAGUCUGCCGUGCGGACGGCCGAGCUAGGGCACUGUAGAGGCAGGUAGAAUUCCGGGUGUAGCGGUGGAAUGCGUAGAGAUCCGGAAGAAUACCGGUGGCGAAGGCGGCCUGCUGGGCAGUAGCCGACGCUGAGGCGCGACAGCGUGGGGAGCAAACAGG
This 253-nucleotide ribosomal RNA is filed under the name uncultured bacterium. RNAcentral's name for it is "partial 16S ribosomal RNA". It matches the Rfam family "Bacterial small subunit ribosomal RNA", at positions 524 to 776 of the family's 1533-position model. The record is from RNAcentral.